GGGGGUGUAGCUCAAUUGGUUAGAGCGCUGCCCUGUCACGGCAGAGGUUGGGGGUUCAAGUCCCCUUGGCUCCG
This 74-nucleotide transfer RNA is filed under the name Kiritimatiellia bacterium. RNAcentral describes it as "Kiritimatiellae bacterium (activated sludge metagenome) tRNA-Asp". It matches the Rfam family "tRNA". From Rfam's summary of the family: Transfer RNA (tRNA) molecules are approximately 80 nucleotides in length. Their secondary structure includes four short double-helical elements and three loops (D, anti-codon, and T loops). Lineage: Bacteria; Pseudomonadati; Kiritimatiellota; Kiritimatiellia. The record is from RNAcentral.